Molecule: long non-coding RNA, 1650 nt
Filed under: Vulpes vulpes (red fox)
Lineage: Eukaryota; Metazoa; Chordata; Mammalia; Carnivora; Canidae
Description: lncRNA (ENSVVUG00000019428.1)
Source: RNAcentral
AUUUUUACCAUACUGCAGUGACUCAAAACUGUGGUUGUACCCUCCCAUCCAAUAGCACAGGAACGUAGUCGAGAAAUAAAGUUCACCGCCAGUAGCUUGUUUUGUGAAUAUAUAAUUCUGAAGAAAACAAGCCAGUAUCUUAACAGGCUCCUUCUUCCCCAGCCCCGAUUUAAUUAUGCAGACCAUCCAGGACGACAGCUACCUGAGGCACAGGCCUGCCCUGAAAGAAGGUGGCAUUCACCUCAAUGAGGCCAUAAAUCUCGGAGAGCUUCGUGAGGAGUAACUACUGAGAGAAAAGAUAAGAGUUUCCAUGGGGCAGCUGGAGAAGUGCUUACAUGUGGGGGAGCUAAUCCCGGAGCCCGGAGAGGAGGAGGUACCAGCGCAGCAGCCGUUUUCGCAGAGGUUUGGGGGAAGAUGGGACUGUCCUGGCUGUGGUGGAAGAUGGCUGGGUUGGGGAGUAAGACCAGGUAUGCCAACAGAUGCUGUGAUUUGGGACUUGGGGUCGCUUACUCUUUCCGAGCCUUCACUUCCUCACCUGUUGGCCAGGAACCCUGAUGAUGUCCCAGGUCCUGCUAGGCUUGACAUAGAGGCAUCCGUUUGCUGGUGAGGUAGAGGGUGCUGGAAGGUGAGAGUGUAAAGUGCUAUCUGUCAGAGAGUUCAAAGACGAGGCAGAGGAAAAAUGUCAUGAAGAGAAGUUGGAGGUUAGAAAACAGUUUCCUGAAACAAACCCACCCACUGUUACAACCCACCCAGCCACUAGCUCACUCACUCUGCUUCCCAGGCAGGGGUUUUACACUAUUUCUGUCAUGGGAUACAAGGCAGAGCUCUUCUCUAUUCUAAGAGAAGUUUUAUAUUUCUUUGGUUUGGGUUUUGUUGGCAGUUUCUUCUUUCUGAUGAUUUGUUUUGAAUCUAAAAGGGAAGGCAAAUGCUUUGGGCUGCAUAUUUACUGGUUACAUUUCUCGUUUGUUGGAAUGUAUAAUGUCAAGUCUCUCACCCUGAGCAGUUCCUAGUAGGAAAGCGAUCUGUACAACGGAGGCCUCCGCUACCAUGUAUGGGUGGGUGUGUAAGUCUAAUGCACUUAAAAUACACUAAACGUAGGGUACAGAGUACUGUGGAUAGGCCCCCAGAGCUGGGUACAGGACCACGGGCCUGCCCCUCUACCCAAGGGAAUGGCCAGGUCUCAUUUUUCUCAGUAGCAGCCCCUUGAUUAAAGCUGGCAGGCUUUUACAAGCUCCCCAUGCCAUGUAGGGAUGACAUCCUUCCUCCCAGUCUCGGCAUUAUUCUGGCAGCCAGGUGAGCUUGUGUGCAUGGCUGCUGGGAAGGACUUUGUUCCCCUGUCUGAGCCUGGCUACCCGCCCCCCCCAAGCCCAGCAGGGAUGUGUAACAGCGAGCAGCAGGCCUGGGGGACUUGUGAGCUGUUGCCAUGGUCACUCCCCAGCGCAUCCAAGGACAAGUCCCCACAUCCGCUGCGAGACUUCAUUAGAGACAGAGCACCACGUGACCACAAGCCUCAAAUCACUUCGUAAGGACUGUGGCCCGGCCUUGUCCCAUCCUGUCGUUUGGCCCCAUAAGCAGAGCGGAGCUGACCUGUGGCCAAGAGACCAACGUAUUCUUCACACUGAAAUAAAUGCACUGACACCCCAAACGCCA